AAAACCUAUGAAUUUAGGAGUCUGUAAGCUUUACUAUUUUUCAUUUCUUUUUAAAAUUAUUUUCUUAUUUUUUCCUGUAGGAAGUUCUGCUCCCAGUAAGGAAUCACCAAAUAGUGCCAAUGAUUUAGAUGGAAGUCUUAUUGCUGUGGUUGUUCUUAUUGUACGUGAGUGUACCAAACUUGGAUACCACUUAAAUCAAAAUAUUAAUGUGAAUGAAGGCACUUUUAAGUGAUUUUUCUAGUUUCUACAGUUUUUAUAGCUUGAAAUUAAGUAAACCAGUCUAGAAACACCUGACCUUUUAUAUGAUAUUCUACCCUGUGUUCGUGAUUGUAUAUUCUUUUGUACUCUAUAUGUCCACUUAGUAACAAACCCUAAAUAUCCCCAAUAUGCUUUGAGUAAUAUUCUAAAUUAAGCAAGGACUGUUUGGCUUACUGUGGACUCUUUAAGUGAUUCCAUGGAAUUGCAUUUAGAGAGUGAAGAGUCCAGAUGGAAUAUGAAUGUACAUAUGCUUAAAUAAAAUAAUAUUGCUGCCUACUGAAAUGUUACCAAUAGUAAUUUCUUGUGCUAGAUUUUGAACCUUGGUAAUAGUUUUCAGAGUUACAUGUAAUUUGUUUUCUGCUUUUUUAUAGUUCUUGGCGUUGCAAUAGUUGACACCUGUGUGUACAAAUGUCUUCACAUCAGGAAGAGAGAAUAAAUAAAAUAAACAUGGUGCUUGAACGUAUUGGUGCUCCUCACUCUCUACAUAUUUUGUGCAGCUUUUGUUUGCACUCUGUAUUGCAUGCUGCCUUGUUUUAAAAAAUGUGCUUUUUGUGAGUGUGCUGUCAGACUUGCAUUUCCUUACUAAAAAUAUUUUCACGAACUUUUAAUAUCAUUGUAACCAGACUAAUCUGCAGAUUUGUUUUAGCUGUUAUGAAUGUAAGAAAAAUUUCUGUGUGGUAUAAGGUUUAAGUUCUGCAGAAAAUCAUGGAUCAUUAUAGGGCCUUCCCUAUCCUAGAUGCACCCUGUUUCCUACAGUGGAUUGGUAGCCAGGACUAAAUUUAAGAUAGUUCACUGUGGAGACUUUGACAAUUCUGUUCACUGUGAUUUUUAGGAUGAAAGUUUCCAUCUGUCUGUAUAAUUUAAAUAGUUGUAAGAAGUUAUGCACAUGUCUUAUUCAAAUACCCAAUCUGCUUGCCUUUCAUUAGAGUUGUUAUUUAUACAUAUUAAGCUGGGGAAUUAAAAGCAACAUCAUCUGACUCUUUUCUUAUAUUGUCUUAAUUUACUAGGUAGCAGUAAAUCUCUAGGGUUAAACUAUAGUUGCUGAGAGGGGUAAAUUACCAAGGCACCUCAUCAACUUAAUCUGCCUUUUUAUCUAUAAAAAUGGAAAAGGGGGGAAUUAUAUCUUCUAAGGACAAUGUGGUUUAUAUGUAAACAUCACAUUUAAAUUUUACUGAAAUGAUUUACAAUGUAAUGAAAGUUUUAGAAUAAAUCCUUGAGCAUAGACCAAGAUUAAAAUAUUUGAUUUUUAGUGAUUUGUUUUCCCCUGUCAUUUUGGAGAGAGAAAGUUUUGAAAUCAAACUAAUAUUUUAAGAUCUUUUGUAUUUGUGGUUUCAUAAUAUGUUUUCCUUUUAUUUUAAUUACUGGGUUUGGGCUAUGUACUAAGAGUACAUCCUUCACUCAUAAAGAGCUCAAACUUUUUUUAUAUUGGUUAUCUUUUUAAAAAUAUCCACAGUGCCUUCAUUUGAACCUUAAAUCAUAUUGUAGAACUCAUGAUGUGCAUAUUUGAUUUCUCUAUUUGUAGUAUAAUUUUUAAAUGACAUACACAGCCCGGCCAGCGGCCGGGCGUCGACCUUGAAGCAGGCGGUGGUGGCUCGGUGCCCAUCAGGGCACAUUCCAGGCUCUGGGCUCCAUCCCUAGUCGGGGGCCUGCGGAGGCGGCCGAUAGA
This is a non-coding RNA of Miniopterus natalensis, 1924 nucleotides long. The record is from RefSeq and is a predicted model, not a curated record. NCBI's taxonomy places the organism in Eukaryota, Metazoa, Chordata, Mammalia, Chiroptera, Miniopteridae.